RNAcentral lists this ribosomal RNA (499 nucleotides) under Salmonella enterica subsp. enterica serovar Infantis. RNAcentral describes it as "bacterial SSU rRNA". It matches the Rfam family "Bacterial small subunit ribosomal RNA", at positions 1016 to 1515 of the family's 1533-position model. The record is from RNAcentral. RNAcentral also lists the same sequence under 3 other names. Lineage: Bacteria; Pseudomonadati; Pseudomonadota; Gammaproteobacteria; Enterobacterales; Enterobacteriaceae.
GCCUUCGGGAACUGUGAGACAGGUGCUGCAUGGCUGUCGUCAGCUCGUGUUGUGAAAUGUUGGGUUAAGUCCCGCAACGAGCGCAACCCUUAUCCUUUGUUGCCAGCGGUCCGGCCGGGAACUCAAAGGAGACUGCCAGUGAUAAACUGGAGGAAGGUGGGGAUGACGUCAAGUCAUCAUGGCCCUUACGACCAGGGCUACACACGUGCUACAAUGGCGCAUACAAAGAGAAGCGACCUCGCGAGAGCAAGCGGACCUCAUAAAGUGCGUCGUAGUCCGGAUUGGAGUCUGCAACUCGACUCCAUGAAGUCGGAAUCGCUAGUAAUCGUGGAUCAGAAUGCCACGGUGAAUACGUUCCCGGGCCUUGUACACACCGCCCGUCACACCAUGGGAGUGGGUUGCAAAAGAAGUAGGUAGCUUAACCUUCGGGAGGGCGCUUACCACUUUGUGAUUCAUGACUGGGGUGAAGUCGUAACAAGGUAACCGUAGGGGAACCUGC